CAGCUCUCCGAGUGGUAGGGAUGAUUAUUGGGCUUAAAGCGUCCGUAGCCGGCUUAGCAAGUCUCCUGUUAAAUUCAGCGACCUAAUCGUUGAGCCGCGGGAGAUACUACUAGGCUAGGAGGCGGGAGAGGUCGACGGUACUUUCGGGGUAGGGGUGAAAUCCUAUAAUCCCGGGAGGACCACCAGUGGCGAAGGCUGUCGACUAGAACGCGCUCGACGGUGAGGGACGAAAGCUGGGGGAGCGAACCGGAUUAGAUACCCGAGUAGUCC
RNAcentral lists this ribosomal RNA (270 nucleotides) under uncultured archaeon. RNAcentral's name for it is "partial 16S ribosomal RNA". It matches the Rfam family "Archaeal small subunit ribosomal RNA", at positions 477 to 747 of the family's 1478-position model. The record is from RNAcentral.